RNAcentral lists this ribosomal RNA (869 nucleotides) under uncultured Cephaliophora. Its description in RNAcentral is "SSU rRNA". It matches the Rfam family "Eukaryotic small subunit ribosomal RNA", at positions 20 to 900 of the family's 1831-position model. The record is from RNAcentral. Lineage: Eukaryota; Fungi; Ascomycota.
GUAGUCAUAUGCUUGUCUCAAAGAUUAAGCCAUGCAUGUCUAAGUAUAAGCAAUCUAUACAGUGAAACUGCGAAUGGCUCAUUAAAUCAGUUAUCGUUUAUUUGAUAGUACCUUACUACAUGGAUAACCGUGGUAAUUCUAGAGCUAAUACAUGCUAAAAAUCCCGACCUCUGGAAGGGAUGUAUUUAUUAGAUAAAAAACCAAUGCCUUCGGGCUCCUUGGUGAUUCAUGAUAACUUUACGAAUCGCAUGGCCUUGUGCCGGCGAUGGUUCAUUCAAAUUUCUGCCCUAUCAACUUUCGAUGGUAGGAUAGUGGCCUACCAUGGUUUCAACGGGUAACGGGGAAUUAGGGUUCUAUUCCGGAGAGGGAGCCUGAGAAACGGCUACCACAUCCAAGGAAGGCAGCAGGCGCGCAAAUUACCCAAUCCCGACACGGGGAGGUAGUGACAAUAAAUACUGAUACAGGGCCCUUUCGGGUCUUGUAAUCGGAAUGAGUACAAUUUAAAUCCCUUAACGAGGAACAAUUGGAGGGCAAGUCUGGUGCCAGCAGCCGCGGUAAUUCCAGCUCCAAUAGCGUAUAUUAAAGUUGUUGCAGUUAAAAAGCUCGUAGUUGAACUUCGGGCCUGGCUGACCGGUCCGCCUCACCGCGUGCACUGGUUCGGCCGGGUCUUUCCUUCUGGCUAACCUCAUGCCCUUCACUGGGUGUGCUGGGGAACCAGGACUUUUACUUUGAAAAAAUUAGAGUGUUCAAAGCAGGCAUAUGCUCGAAUACAUUAGCAUGGAAAUAAUAGAAUAGGACGUGCGGUUCUAUUUUGUUGGUUUCUAGGACCGCCGUAAUGAUUAAUAGGAUAGUCGGGGCAUCCGUAUUCA